Molecule: small RNA, 541 nt
Filed under: Pan troglodytes (chimpanzee)
Lineage: Eukaryota; Metazoa; Chordata; Mammalia; Primates; Hominidae
Description: retained intron
Source: RNAcentral
CCCCUCCAGCCCAGCUCGGGCUCCAGCUCCAGCGCCGGCGCUUCAGCUGCGACCGCGAGCCCUCUCAAGCAAGGCCUACCCUCUGAAGAGGUCCAAGCAACGGAAGUACUACUACGAAGCUGCCUUUCUGGCCAUCCUUGAGAAAAACAGACAGAUGGCCAAGGAGAGGGGCCUAAUAAGCCCCAGUGAUUUUGCCCAGCUGCAAAAAUACAUGGAAUACUCCACCAAAAAGGUCAGUGAUGUCCUAAAGCUCUUCGAGGAUGGCGAGAUGGCUAAAUAUGUCCAAGGAGAUGCCAUUGGGUACGAGGGAUUCCAGCAAUUCCUGAAAAUCUAUCUGGAAGUGGAUAAUGUUCCCAGACACCUAAGCCUGGCACUGUUUCAAUCCUUUGAGACUGGUCACUGCUUAAAUGAGACAAAUGUGACAAAAGAUGUGGUGUGUCUCAAUGAUGUUUCCUGCUACUUUUCCCUUCUGGAGGGUGGUCGGCCAGAAGACAAGUUAGAAUGUGAGUUGCCCUUCUGAAGUGAGGUGGCAGGGCAGUGA